Molecule: ribosomal RNA, 1508 nt
Filed under: Enterococcus faecalis
Lineage: Bacteria; Bacillati; Bacillota; Bacilli; Lactobacillales; Enterococcaceae
Description: bacterial SSU rRNA
Rfam family: Bacterial small subunit ribosomal RNA
Source: RNAcentral
GACGAACGCUGGCGGCGUGCCUAAUACAUGCAAGUCGAACGCUUCUUUCCUCCCGAGUGCUUGCACUCAAUUGGAAAGAGGAGUGGCGGACGGGUGAGUAACACGUGGGUAACCUACCCAUCAGAGGGGGAUAACACUUGGAAACAGGUGCUAAUACCGCAUAACAGUUUAUGCCGCAUGGCAUAAGAGUGAAAGGCGCUUUCGGGUGUCGCUGAUGGAUGGACCCGCGGUGCAUUAGCUAGUUGGUGAGGUAACGGCUCACCAAGGCCACGAUGCAUAGCCGACCUGAGAGGGUGAUCGGCCACACUGGGACUGAGACACGGCCCAGACUCCUACGGGAGGCAGCAGUAGGGAAUCUUCGGCAAUGGACGAAAGUCUGACCGAGCAACGCCGCGUGAGUGAAGAAGGUUUUCGGAUCGUAAAACUCUGUUGUUAGAGAAGAACAAGGACGUUAGUAACUGAACGUCCCCUGACGGUAUCUAACCAGAAAGCCACGGCUAACUACGUGCCAGCAGCCGCGGUAAUACGUAGGUGGCUAGCGUUGUCCGGAUUUAUUGGGCGUAAAGCGAGCGCAGGCGGUUUCUUAAGUCUGAUGUGAAAGCCCCCGGCUCAACCGGGGAGGGUCAUUGGAAACUGGGAGACUUGAGUGCAAAAAGAGGAGAGUGGAAUUCCAUGUGUAGCGGUGAAAAUGCGUAGAUAUAUGGAGGAACACCAGUGGCGAAGGCGGCUCUCUGGUCUGUAACUGACGCUGAGGCUCGAAAAGCGUGGGGGAGCAAACAGGAUUAGAUACCCUGGUAGUCCACGCCGUAAACGAUGAGUGCUAAGUGUUGGAGGGUUUCCGCCCUUCAGUGCUGCAGCAAACGCAUUAAGCACUCCGCCUGGGGAGUACGACCGCAAGGUUGAAACUCAAAGGAAUUGACGGGGGCCCGCACAAGCGGUGGAGCAUGUGGUUUAAUUCGAAGCAACGCGAAGAACCUUACCAGGUCUUGACAUCCUUUGACCACUCUAGAGAUAGAGCUUUCCCUUCGGGGACAAAGUGACAGGUGGUGCAUGGUUGUCGUCAGCUCGUGUCGUGAGAUGUUGGGUUAAGUCCCGCAACGAGCGCAACCCUUAUUGUUAGUUGCCAUCAUUUAGUUGGGCACUCUAGCGAGACUGCCGGUGACAAACCGGAGGAAGGUGGGGAUGACGUCAAAUCAUCAUGCCCCUUAUGACCUGGGCUACACACGUGCUACAAUGGGAAGUACAACGAGUCGCUAGACCGCGAGGUCAUGCAAAUCUCUUAAAGCUUCUCUCAGUUCGGAUUGCAGGCUGCAACUCGCCUGCAUGAAGCCGGAAUCGCUAGUAAUCGCGGAUCAGCACGCCGCGGUGAAUACGUUCCCGGGCCUUGUACACACCGCCCGUCACACCACGAGAGUUUGUAACACCCGAAGUCGGUGAGGUAACCUUUUUGGAGCCAGCCGCCUAAGUGGGAUAGAUGAUUGGGGUGAAGUCGUAACAAGUAGCCGUAU